GUGAUUGCUUUGACAGCACAUAUACUGAAAAUGGAAUGAUACAGGGAAGAUUAACAUGGCUCCUGUGCAAGGAUGACACACAAAUUCAUGAAGCAUUCCAUAUUUUU
This 107-nucleotide small nuclear RNA is filed under the name Saimiri boliviensis boliviensis (Bolivian squirrel monkey). The record is from RNAcentral. Lineage: Eukaryota; Metazoa; Chordata; Mammalia; Primates; Cebidae.